RNAcentral lists this non-coding RNA (103 nucleotides) under Fimbriimonas ginsengisoli Gsoil 348. RNAcentral describes it as "TPP riboswitch aptamer (THI element)". It matches the Rfam family "TPP riboswitch aptamer (THI element)". From Rfam's summary of the family: Vitamin B(1) in its active form thiamin pyrophosphate (TPP) is an essential coenzyme that is synthesised by coupling of pyrimidine and thiazole moieties in bacteria. RNAcentral also lists the same sequence under 1 other name. Lineage: Bacteria; Bacillati; Armatimonadota; Fimbriimonadia; Fimbriimonadales; Fimbriimonadaceae. The record is from Rfam by way of RNAcentral.
CCGCCCGCAAGGGGGAGCCGAGAGGCUGAGAGGUCCUGGAGACAGGACGACCCCGGAACCUGAUCUGGUUAGUACCAGCGGAGGGAUUGUGGAAGGCGCGGUC